GCCGCUCCGGGUGCCCUUGACUGGGUGGCCCGCGGCACCUGUCCGUUUUACUUUGAAAAAAUUAGAGUGUUCAAGGCAGGCUCUGACGGCCUGAAUAAUGGUGCAUGGAAUAAUGGAACAGGACCUCGGUUCUAUUCUGUUGGUUCUCCGGGACUCGAGGUAAUGAUCAAGAGGGACAGACGGGGGCAUUCGUACUGCGGCGUGAGAGGUGAAAUUCUUGGACCGCCGCAAGACGGACUACUGCGAAAGCAUUUGCCAAGAAUGUUUUCAUUAAUCAAGAACGAAAGUCAGAGGUU
This 296-nucleotide ribosomal RNA is filed under the name Annelida sp. MM00745. RNAcentral describes it as "partial small subunit ribosomal RNA". It matches the Rfam family "Eukaryotic small subunit ribosomal RNA", at positions 705 to 998 of the family's 1831-position model. Lineage: Eukaryota; Metazoa; Annelida. The record is from RNAcentral.